AGGGGGUUGAACACUUCCAACCAUGGGUAGGAUCUUAUCCUUGGCUUGAUUUUAUCUGACAUGGCAAGUUUCCUGGAGUCUACAAUCCACCUCUGAUUAUAUUCAGUAGAGACAAGUACACCAAUUCUUGAAGACUGCCUUUUUGUACAAAUUGAAGAUUUGUGGCAAUCUUUCAUCAAGCAAGUCUAUGAGGUUCAUUUUCCCAACAGCAUGUGCUCA
RNAcentral lists this long non-coding RNA (219 nucleotides) under Monodelphis domestica (gray short-tailed opossum). RNAcentral describes it as "lncRNA (ENSMODG00000033222.2)". Lineage: Eukaryota; Metazoa; Chordata; Mammalia; Didelphimorphia; Didelphidae. The record is from RNAcentral.